RNAcentral lists this ribosomal RNA (500 nucleotides) under uncultured bacterium. RNAcentral's name for it is "bacterial SSU rRNA". It matches the Rfam family "Bacterial small subunit ribosomal RNA", at positions 791 to 1296 of the family's 1533-position model. The record is from RNAcentral.
UAGUCCACGCCCUAAACGAUGCCAACUCGAUAUUUGGAUCUUGAAUCUGAGUGUCUAAGCGAAAGCGAUAAGUUAGCCACCUGGGGAGUACGUUCGCAAGAAUGAAACUCAAAGGAAUUGACGGGGGCCCGCACAAGCGGUGGAGCAUGUGGUUUAAUUCGAUGAUACGCGAGGAACCUUACCUGGGCUCAAAUGCAGAGUGACAGUCCCUGAAAGGGGAUUUUCUUCGGACACUUUGCAAGGUGCUGCAUGGUUGUCGUCAGCUCGUGCCGUGAGGUGUCGGGUUGAGUCCCAUAACGAGCGCAACCCCUAUCAUUAGUUGCCAUCAGGUCAAGCUGGGGACUCUAGUGAAACUGCCUACGCAAGUAGAGAGGAAGGUGGGGAUGACGUCAAAUCAGCACGGCCCUUACGUCCAGGGCUACACACGUGCUACAAUGGCCGGUACAGAGGGCAGCCACCACGCGAGUGGGAGCGAAUCUCGAAAGCCGGUCUCAGUUCGG